AUAAAUCCUUCCCCGCCCCUUUCUCCCCUCCCCCCCACUUCCGGAUGCCACAGUUCCUGGCAUCCAUGUUGCAUUGGUACCUACCAGUCUUCUUCCUCGUCGUCUUCCUGAUUCCCUUCCUAAUGAGAAUCCGUGCAAGCCAGAUGGGGCAGGACACAACUGUACUCCCUGUCUACAGGAAGUGAAGACAGGAAGAUCAGGAGUUCAAGGUCAUCCUGGAAUACACAGUAAGUUUGCAACCCACCUCGGAUGAG
Molecule: long non-coding RNA, 254 nt
Filed under: Rattus norvegicus (Norway rat)
Lineage: Eukaryota; Metazoa; Chordata; Mammalia; Rodentia; Muridae
Description: long non-coding RNA NONRATT031611
Source: RNAcentral